UGCCAGCCGCCGCGGUAAGACAGAGGGUGCGAACGUUGUUCGGAAUUACUGGGCGUAAAGCGCGUGUAGGCUGCUUGGAAAGUCGGGUGUGAAAGCCCUGGGCUCAACCCAGGAAGUGCACUCGAAACUACUAAGCUAGAGUACUGGAGAGGAAAGUGGAAUUCUCGGUGUAGAGGUGAAAUUCGUAGAUAUCGAGAGGAACACCGGUGGCGAAGGCGGCUUUCUGGACAGUUACUGACGCUGAGACGCGAAAGCGUGGGGAGCAAACAGGAUUAGAUA
This 279-nucleotide ribosomal RNA is filed under the name uncultured bacterium. Its description in RNAcentral is "partial 16S ribosomal RNA". It matches the Rfam family "Bacterial small subunit ribosomal RNA", at positions 506 to 784 of the family's 1533-position model. The record is from RNAcentral.